CCGGUGCCUUCGCCGGGUGCGACAUUCAUUGGAACGUGGACCUCCCCAGUCUCAGCCGGACUGGAGCCACCGGUCGCCGGUGUUCUGGUGCUGUUAUCGGAGCGUGCAGGCCAUCUGUUUGCCGCUGACGUUCGGCGAGCCCGGAGUUACCUGCAGCGCAGGGGUCUUGUGGCAGCUGACAUCCCACGGUUUAACAGAUUACCUACAAGGGUUUCUUUAUGGGCCAUUUCCAAAGAAGAUAAAUGGAUAAAAUGAUUUGAUUUACCAAGUGAACCCCACCAUGAGUUGAAUACCCGCAAUCCUUUCUUUUUGUCUCCUGUUAGAGUUGUUUCUGUGUGUAUGGGAAGCUUGCUUUUGCAGUUUUAGUCAUGAGUGCAAAUUUUUUUGCACAGGUUUACAGAAUAUUGGUGUUACUAUUCUUAAAUAACAGUGAAGACAGAAGACUGGAUUUGUCUUGAAUAACAAUGAAGACUGAUAGAAAUGAGACUGGAUUUGUCCUGCUGGGAAGGGCAAUGCUGCAGCUCUGCUCCGCCUCCACCAGUCAUCUCUGCAUGACUCACCAGUAAUUUGUAUCGAUCAGCUCUACACAAAAUAUUUAUUAUUCAUUUCCUAUUAGUCAGUCCUGCCAGUCUCCAUUUUGUGCCUGCUCUAGGUUUAACUUCAGUUGCUUUUAAUAAUACUCUUCAAUUUGGGCUUAAAGGUGUUGCAUUGGUGUCGGCUGCUUUUAAAUAUCAUAAAUCCGAAAUGUCUGUAUGAUUUGUGGACGCAAAUUAGUUUAUUGUUGAAAGUUUUUUUUUUUUUUUCAUUCAUCAUUGAUCCUCAAAUUGGGGUGAUAAGAGGAGGUAAUUUAGUCUUCAGAAAUUAGGGCAGGGGUUUCCAGACCUCUUGUAGGGUACCCCCAGCUGAUCCAGGGCUUGAUUAGUUGUAUCGGGUGCAUUUGAGGUGGAACGCAUAAAAUACCUGUACCUGGCUGGGGGUCCCCAAGGAGAGGUUUUCUUCCAUAGUGAACUAGGGGAACAAAGCACCCCAAGUAAGGUAGUGACUACACAUUCAUGAUUUUACAUUUUUUUGGAUGAAAAGUAUGGGAUGCAGUCAGUUACAGCAUCUCUGAAGUGCUUAAAAACAUUUUAUUAUUACAUUUUCUUUUGUAUGUGCACAGGGGCAGCUGUACAUUGUAGCCUGAUAUUCCUGGAACUCCAUUAUAAAAAAUGUAUGAAAGCAGUGUGUGCAUUGUGGAAUUAUGCUAUUCAAUCUCUCCUGAGGCAGGCAGCCUUCAUUAUGUCAGGGUGGGUGUUAUACUUUAUAGGACUUGGGUCUAGAUAGAAAUGUGAAUGUGCUUUUCGUUCUUUGAGAUUAUAUGGUCCGAGGUGCUCUGCUUUAUCACCUUAUGGUCUUGUGGUUACUCUGCAAAACCACAGAAGCUCAAUGCAUUUGUUCCCGGACAAAGUACUGGAAGAGGUGUUGACGGUUCAUUAAAGGGGGGCACACCCGUUUGGACCUAACGGUGGAAAAGCAGUUCCCUUUAGCAGUCAUGGGAAUUCUGUACCAGCAUGUCAGUUAAGGCCUUAAACCAAGAUAAUUAAAAAUCCUUUGGUGUUCUUUAUGAAUUGUGAGAUGCUCCUGGCUGAAAUCCUUACCUGGCUUGACUAAUUUGGCUCCCUGAUAGUGCUCAGAUAUUAGGCAGCUGUAUGGGGCUUCUCCCUGGCCUUACUAAUGUGGCUCCCUGAUAGUGCUCAGAUAUUAGGCAGCUGUAUGGGGCUUCUCCCUGGCCUUACUAAUGUGGCUCCCUGAUAGUGCUCAGAUAUUAGGCAGCUGUAUGGGGCUUCUCCCUGGCCUUACUAAUGUGGCUCCCUGAUAGUGCUCAGAUAUUAGGCAGCUGUAUGGGGCUUCUCCCUGGCCUUACUAAUGUGGCUCCCUGAUAGUGCUCAGAUAUUAGGCAGCUGUAUGGGGCUUCUCCCUGGCCUUACUAAUGUGUAAAUACCUGCCAAAUCAACUAGGUGGGUGCUGCACAUGUUGCAUAAAAGCGUAAUUCCACUGUUCGGCCAUCUUGACGAUCGAAGAGAGGAUGUUCCAAGCGGACACCUCCCUGUUCUUCCUACGCGCACAUUCCUCAGGAUGUGUUAUUGAAAACCGUCAGCUCCAAUCUCAUAUUCACAAAUGGGCCGGUCCCUGAAUUCACUUCAUGUUUUUGUUCUAUUAUCUUUCUGUUGUGUUUCUGUGGAAUUCUGUUUUUGUUUAUACGUUCAGUCAAACAGUGGACCUCUGCUCUUAUGGGAGUUAUCCAUUACUCAGUGUGGCAUGUCGUCGGUGUUUUAAAAAAACAACAAAAAAAACCUGAAAGCAUAAACAUUGUAUUUCCAUAUUUGAAAAAUAAAACAUUUUCAUCACUGAUAUUUCACAGCUCUCUGCCUAGUAAGGUAACCAUGUAACUAAGACAUUACAUUUAUUGUUACAUUGCAUGUUACGUGUAAUCGAAUAAUAAAACGUUUUCUUAUUUCUCAUUUGAAAGGUUGUUUGGAGAUAAAGGUUUUUUAUGAUGAGGUUUUUUUUUAAUGAUGCUAUUAUGAUUUCUAAACCACUGGCCACUGGCAUACCAAGCUGUGAAAGGCACUGCCCCCUUCCUGUGUUCAAAUGAUGACUUUGCGCCGCAAACUGCCGCCAGACCUCGCUGUUGAGGCCCCUCCCACCAGCUGGCUGUUCUCUUCAGGCACCUGGCAGCCACCCCGCCCGACUCUGCGCGUCCAUCGCCCCGGGACAGGGCAGUGACCUUCCCCGGUCUUUCUGAGAACGCGCCUUCUCAGACUGUAAAACAGGAUUGUUUUACUUGAAAAUAUGAAAUGGAUACGGUAUGGCAUAUAUACGAUGCACUGGCAAUCCAUGCCUUUGCUG
Anguilla anguilla (European eel) is the source of this 2889-nucleotide long non-coding RNA. RefSeq lists it as uncharacterized. Lineage: Eukaryota; Metazoa; Chordata; Actinopteri; Anguilliformes; Anguillidae. The record is from RefSeq and is a predicted model, not a curated record. The transcript is spliced from 3 exons.